UCCUGGCUUAGAACGAACGCUGGUGGCGUGUCUAUACAUGCAAGUCGAGCGAGGCAGCAAUGCCGAGCGGCGAACGGGUGAGUAACGCGUAAGCAAUCUGCCCCAUAUCAGGAAAUACCCGUGCCAACGCGCGGUUAAUGUCCAGGAGAGUGGCCUUCCGCAUGGAAGGUUGACUAGAGAUUUAUCGGUAUGGGAUGAGCUUGCGUCCGAUUAGCUAGUUGGCGGGCAACGGCCCACCAAGGCGACGAUCGGUAGCCGGCCUGAGAGGGUGAUCGGCCACAUUGGGACUGAGAUACGGCCCAGACUCCUACGGGAGGCAGCAGUAGGGAAUAUUGCACAAUGGGGGAAACCCUGAUGCAGCAACGCCACGUGUUGGGAAGAAGCAUUUCGGUGUGUAAACCACUGUCAUGAGGGAAUAAGGCCCGCCUUCGGACGGGAUUGAAUGUACCUUGAGAGGAAGCACCGGCAAACUUCGUGCCAGCCGCAGC
Molecule: ribosomal RNA, 488 nt
Filed under: uncultured bacterium
Lineage: Bacteria
Description: bacterial SSU rRNA
Rfam family: Bacterial small subunit ribosomal RNA
Source: RNAcentral